Sorex araneus (European shrew) is the source of this 793-nucleotide long non-coding RNA. RefSeq lists it as uncharacterized. NCBI's taxonomy places the organism in Eukaryota, Metazoa, Chordata, Mammalia, Eulipotyphla, Soricidae. The transcript has 5 exons. The record is from RefSeq and is a predicted model, not a curated record.
CCGCAGCCCACCCACCCGAGCGCACAGCUCCUCACCUGGACUGCGCGGCCGACAGAGGCCUCCCGGGGGGAUCGCGGGCGUGGGUGCGAGCCCCGCACGUGUCCGCCGCGGCGCAGAGCAGAGGAUAUGAUUUGGAAAUUGUCAGGCACUCCUGUGGUUAACGAUCUACUUGAAGGGGCUGGCCGCUUCACAAUUAUUAACUGGUUAGCAACUGCUGAGGACUCACUAAGGCCCUAUGUGACAGUCCUGUGGCAUUGGGAAGAGAAGGGUGAUAACCCCAUCGGUGAAACUCAGGAGAUCAUGCAGUUCUGGGGAUCAAAACUGGGGCUCCAACAUGCAGAAAUGUCUCUGCUGGAGAAAUAGCUCACCAGGCUGAAAGCAUGCAAGUGGAAAGACAAGGUUUGAUCCCCAGCACUGCAUAAUCCUAUGGGCAUCUCUUGGAGUGACCUCUGAACACAGAAUAAUGAGUAACCAUCCCAUCCACCAGCACUACGCCCUGCAAGCUAUUUGGCAUAUGAAGGUCUUGACUUGAGAAAACCAUCUUGGAUAACCAACCACAGCAAGGAGAAGGGAAAAUGCAACACCUAGGAGAUUUCAGUAAACAGUAGAAUCAUGCCAACCUAAUCUGUGUUAAAAUGCUUGGAAUGUGGGAGCCGCUGAUGAUGCCUGUUGUCUGUGUGUCUGACUGAAUCCUUUCUUUUCUCAGAGCAGCAAAGCAAAGCCUGGGAACCAGGCCAAAUGCCUGCCACUUACCUUAAAUUGAUCAGCCACUUUGAGAUUAAAACCCCUGAAA